GAUCUCGUAGCUCAGCCGGUAGAGCAUCUGACUUUUAAUCAGAGGGUCCUGGGUUCGAAUCCCAGCGAGAUCACCA
This 76-nucleotide transfer RNA is filed under the name Aerophototrophica crusticola. Its description in RNAcentral is "tRNA-Lys". It matches the Rfam family "tRNA". Rfam says of the family: Transfer RNA (tRNA) molecules are approximately 80 nucleotides in length. Their secondary structure includes four short double-helical elements and three loops (D, anti-codon, and T loops). The record is from RNAcentral. Lineage: Bacteria; Pseudomonadati; Pseudomonadota; Alphaproteobacteria; Rhodospirillales; Rhodospirillaceae.